Molecule: transfer RNA, 67 nt
Filed under: Typhlatya dzilamensis
Lineage: Eukaryota; Metazoa; Arthropoda; Malacostraca; Decapoda; Atyidae
Description: tRNA-Ile
Source: RNAcentral
AAUAGCGUGCUUGACAAAAAGGUCGUUUUGAUAGAACGAAUUAUGAAAGCCAACCUUUCCGCUAUUA